This 460-nucleotide ribosomal RNA is filed under the name uncultured bacterium. Its description in RNAcentral is "partial 16S ribosomal RNA". It matches the Rfam family "Bacterial small subunit ribosomal RNA", at positions 338 to 795 of the family's 1533-position model. The record is from RNAcentral.
CCUACGGGGGGCAGCAGUGAGGAAUAUUGGUCAAUGGUCGGGAGACUGAACCAGCCAAGCCGCGUGAGGGAUGAAGGUACAGAGUAUCGUAAACCUCUUUUGUCAGGGAACAAAGGCGGGGACGUGUCCCCGGAUGAGUGUACCUGAAGAAAAAGCAUCGGCUAACUCCGUGCCAGCAGCCGCGGUAAUACGUAGGUGGCAAGCGUUAUCCGGAUUUAUUGGGUGUAAAGGGCGGGUAGGCGGGAGCGCAAGUCAGAUGUGAAAACGCAGGGCUCAACCCUGGGCCUGCAUUUGAAACUGGGUGUCUUGAGUGCUGGAGAGGCAUGCGGAAUGCGGUGUGUAGCGGUGAAAUGCGUAGAUAUACGGAGGAACGCCAGUGGCGAAGGCAGAUUACUGGAGAGUAACUGACGCUGAGGCGCGAAAGCGUGGGGAGCGAACAGGAUUAGAUACCCGGGUAGUC